Molecule: ribosomal RNA, 130 nt
Filed under: uncultured bacterium
Lineage: Bacteria
Description: partial 23S ribosomal RNA
Rfam family: Bacterial large subunit ribosomal RNA
Source: RNAcentral
UGCAUAAACCAGUUACAGCAGAUGAUGGAUGCCUUGGCGUCAUCAGGCGAUGAAGGGCGCAGCAAGCUGCGAAAAGCUUCGGGGAGCGGCAUACACGCUUUGAUCCGGAGAUUCCCGAAUGGGGCAACCC